This 398-nucleotide ribosomal RNA is filed under the name uncultured bacterium. Its description in RNAcentral is "bacterial SSU rRNA". It matches the Rfam family "Bacterial small subunit ribosomal RNA", at positions 30 to 414 of the family's 1533-position model. The record is from RNAcentral.
AGUGAACGCUGGCGGCAGGCCUAACACAUGCAAGUCGAGCGGCAGCGCGUCCGACCACCCUCGGGUGGUCGGAUGGCGGCGAGCGGCGGACGGGUGAGGAAUGCAUCGGAAUCUGCCUCGUUGUGGGGGAUAACGUAGGGAAACUUACGCUAAUACCGCAUACGACCUACGGGUGAAAGUGGGGGACCUUCGGGCCUCACGCGAUGAGAUGAGCCGAUGCCGGAUUAGCUAGUUGGCGGGGUAAAGGCCCACCAAGGCGACGAUCCGUAGCUGGUCUGAGAGGAUGAUCAGCCACACUGGAACUGAGACACGGUCCAGACUCCUACGGGAGGCAGCAGUAGGGAAUAUUGGACAAUGGGGGCAACCCUGAUCCAGCCAUGCCGCGUGUGUGAAGAAGG